This 1154-nucleotide long non-coding RNA is filed under the name Taeniopygia guttata (zebra finch). RNAcentral's name for it is "lncRNA (ENSTGUG00000029313.1)". Lineage: Eukaryota; Metazoa; Chordata; Aves; Passeriformes; Estrildidae. The record is from RNAcentral.
AUAAAAAUAGGUUUUUAUUUCGCGACCGACAUUCGGUCUCUGAUAGCCGCAAUCAAAGGGGCAGCGCCGAGCCGGCACUGGGUGAACGCUGAUCCGAACUCUAUCGCUUCGGAUCUCCUCUGUUCACGAAUGCUGUCUCCCUCCGGUUAGUUUUAUACAGCUUUUUUUCCGCCUGGGGCAGAGGUUCUCCUGUUCUUUUCGUUGCUUCACAUUAUUCAUCGGGUCUCCUUUUCUCUGUGCUGAGCUGGACAAAGCUGUUUCUGAGAAGCGAUAUGAAUGCUGACCGUCAGCUUGGGAUAUAUGCUCCUGACGGCUCUAUCUUGAUCGCAGAUAUUUCUCGAGUAUUCAUCGCUUGGGUGUCUCCUGCAUUGUCCCAGGAAAGGGCCCAUCUCCGCACGAAGCCACGGUUUUUCGUUUGUAAAUUAGGUUUUUCUCCCUGCUGCCAUCUGUGGUUUCGCAAUCUUUCCCGGCUGCGGCUUGUGGUUUUUUUUUUAAACUUUAAGGAUUGUUCGUACAAGCACAACUUAUUUCAUGUAUAUUUUACAUAAGCCCGAAUUAUUCCAUAACAUAUAUUACAGGAUGGAGUUGAGAAUUAGAAGCACAAUAUACUGGAAACAUCAGGGGUAAGAGACCUGCCCCCACUCCCAAUACACAAUACCAGUCGGCUCCCUCCUCCACGUUUUCUCCAUAGGAAGAAACUUCUUUUCCCCCUGCUCCUGGCAAUGCCCAAUGAUGUGAGGUGGGACAGAAUAACCUCCAUAUCCGAGCCAUGCUCCCUCCUGUCAGCUGCAAAAAUUAACACUGCCCCAGCUGGAAUCAGGACAUCAGGAAACAUUACUUACUCAUGACCAUUUUGGAAUUAAGGGCUGCCCAUAAUCACAAAAUUAAUUAGGUUGGAAAAGACCUGUAAGAUCAUAGAAUCGAAACCAUGACCAAACACCAUAUCAACCAGACCAUGGCACUAAGUGCCAGUCUUUAAACACCUCCGGGAACAGUAACUUCUGUUCCAUCCUCUAAUCACCCUUUCAACGAAGAAAUUCCUCCUGAUGUCCAAACUAAACCUCCCUGGUGCAGCUUGAGGCCAUGACCCCUAAAGCUCGCACCAGCUGCCUGGGAGAAGAGCCGACCCCCACCAGGCUACAACCUCCUUUCAA